Molecule: non-coding RNA, 36 nt
Submitted as: unclassified sequences
Source: Rfam
ACGGCGUCCUCCGAAAAGCCGACGAUAGAGUAGGAA